UGGUGGAGUGAUUUGUCUGGUUAAUUCCGUUAACGAACGAGACCUCGUCUUACUAAAUAGCAUGGCAUAUUUACGGAUAUGUACAUGUCUUCUUAGAGGGACUUGUGGUGUGUAGCCACAGGAAGUUCGAGGCAAUAACA
RNAcentral lists this ribosomal RNA (140 nucleotides) under uncultured eukaryote. Its description in RNAcentral is "partial 18S ribosomal RNA". It matches the Rfam family "Eukaryotic small subunit ribosomal RNA", at positions 1299 to 1458 of the family's 1831-position model. The record is from RNAcentral.